Molecule: ribosomal RNA, 497 nt
Filed under: uncultured bacterium
Lineage: Bacteria
Description: partial 16S ribosomal RNA
Rfam family: Bacterial small subunit ribosomal RNA
Source: RNAcentral
GAUGAACGCUGGCGGCGUGCCUAAUACAUGCAAGUCGAGCGGACAGACCAGGAGCUUGCUGCUCUGACGUUAGGCGAGGGGGGGUGAGUAACGCGUGGAUAACGUACCUAUAAUUCGGGGAUAACUACGGGAAAGCGGCGCAAAUACCGGAGGAUAUCUUGAUCCGCAUGGGUGAAUAGUAAAAGACGGCUUUGCGGGAUCGAAUAGAUGGAUACGCGCCGCAUUAGCUAGUUGGUAAGGUAACGGCCUACGAAGGGAACGAUGCGUUGACGACCUGAUAGGGUGAUCGGCCGCACUGGAGCUGAGACACGGUCCAGACUCCUACGGGAGGCAGCAGUAGGGAACGGGCCGCAAUGGGCGGAAGCCUGACGGAGCGAGGCCGCGUGAGUGACGAAGGUCUUCGGAUCGUAAUGCUCUGUUAUUAGGGAAGAACAGAUGUGUAAGUAACUAUGCACGUCUUGACGGUACCUGAUCAGAAAGCCACGGCUAACUACGUG